UUCCUACAUUACUUGCGACAGUUCUGCAUUUUUUGUUGAAAUAACUUAAAGGAUAAACAUUAUUAAAUCGAAUCAUUUCCACAACUUGAGGUAACUUAUGAUAAAAUGACAUCACAAAACGAACAGAACCAGAAUCAACCAACAUAUAAAAAACCGAAUAAAACUUGCAAAAAUUAAUCGAAGUCAAAAACCCUCUUCGACGCCGCAUUUUAAGUGUAAUGUGGUGUUGUAGGAACAUCGUGCCCAACGUUUGAAAGUAGAAAUAGAGCAAUCAAUACUUCAAUUCACCC
This 290-nucleotide long non-coding RNA is filed under the name Mytilus galloprovincialis (Mediterranean mussel). Lineage: Eukaryota; Metazoa; Mollusca; Bivalvia; Mytilida; Mytilidae. The record is from RNAcentral.